This 781-nucleotide ribosomal RNA is filed under the name Dictyostelium sp. RNAcentral's name for it is "SSU rRNA". It matches the Rfam family "Eukaryotic small subunit ribosomal RNA", at positions 52 to 836 of the family's 1831-position model. Lineage: Eukaryota; Evosea; Eumycetozoa; Dictyosteliales; Dictyosteliaceae. The record is from RNAcentral.
UGCAUGUCUAAGUAUAAAUUCUUGUACGAUGAAACUGCAGACGGCUCAUUACAACAGUGAUAAACUAAUAGACUUUCGGGUUUUUAACCUUUUGGAUAACCGCAGUAAAUCGGGGCUAAUACAUACAAGCGAUGGGUGACUGGCAACGGAAGCUCAGCGAUUAUUAGCAUUACUACCAAUACCUUCGGGUCUUGUGGUGAAACCGAAUAAUAUUGCAGAUCGAGGAUUUAUCUUCGACAAGUCUACUGUGUCACUGCCCUAUCAACUUUCGAUGGUACGGUAUUGGCCUACCAUGGUUGUAACGGGUAACGGGGAAUUAGGGUUCGAUUCCGGAGAGGGAGCCUGAGAAAUGGCUACCACUUCUACGGAAGGCAGCAGGCGCGCAAAUUACUCAAUCCCAAUACGGGGAAGUAGUGACAAUAAAUAUCAAUACCUAUCCUUAACGGAGGGCAAUUGAAAUGAACACAAAUUAAAACUCUUAAUUAACACAAUUGGAGGGCAAGUCUGGUGCCAGCAGCCGCGGUAAUUCCAGCUCCAAUAGCAUAUACUAAAGUUGUUGCAGUUAAAAAGCUCGUAGUUGAAGUUAAAGGUUUACUGGGCUAAAGUUAUUUGCCACUCUGGUGGUUAAAUCAACUCCAGUAUUCCUUUUUUUAAUAGCUCUGCUUCUAGCAUCUUUGAUGUUAGUUGUUUGGGCAUUUCACUGUGAGAAAAUUGUGGUGUUUAAAGCAGGCGUCUCGCCUGAUCUUUUGCAGCAUGGUAUGAUGAAACAUGACAUUUUACG